This is a long non-coding RNA of Spinacia oleracea (spinach), 3909 nucleotides long. RefSeq lists it as uncharacterized. The record is from RefSeq and is a predicted model, not a curated record. The transcript is spliced from 2 exons. NCBI's taxonomy places the organism in Eukaryota, Viridiplantae, Streptophyta, Magnoliopsida, Caryophyllales, Amaranthaceae.
CAAUUCCCAAAGUCAGUAAUCACGUGAAUAGCUUCCAACAAUUGUACUUCCCAAAAUUAUUUUUUUAUUGAAUUAAAAAAACAAAAAUUCAUUUCUAACGCCUCUUUCUUGCUCUUAUGGGAUUUUAAUUUACCUAAUGUUUCUCUUCAAUCUCCUCUAAUUCACAAAUAUUGGGUUUUCAACUUUGGUAUCAAAUCAUCAAUAACUCUUAAUCUUUUAUUCUUCUGCUGGGUCGCUGGCUUCUGGCCUACUGUUGUGCUCUACUGCUCUGUCCGUCUGUCGUCACUCGUCCGCGUUCUUCCUGCCACCACCCGGCGCCCACCGGGGUCGCCGGCGUCUUCAAAGCUGGUCUAGUGGUCUCAUAUUCUCAUGGUGUCCUCUUAAUUUUUCAAAAUUUCAAUUUUUCAAUUUAUAUUGUUCAAUUUUAAUUAGGUUCUUCUAUUUUGUAAAUUAGAUUUUGGGUGAUUUCUAUCAUAGAAUUGAAUUAAUUUUAGUGUUUGGAUUAUUGAGUGGUUGAAUUUAAUUAAUUACUUGAUUAUUUGAUUUGAUUUGUAAUAUUAAUUCUAAGUUUAUACUUGAAUUUGAAUAUUUAAUUUUCCCUUUCCCCACCUAGACGAUUACAUAUUUAGUUGUCUAAACUCUAGACAUCUUGAAUAGCUGAAUUGAAUUUAGUUUUAGUUUUGGGUUAUGAUUAUGAGUAUUUGAGUGAUUGAAUUUAAUUUGUAAUUUGUGUACUUUAUUUGGGGAAGAAUAUUAUAUGUUUCUUGUUCAAGUUUGUAUUCUCAUGAAUUAUGAUUUAAUUGUUCAAGUUUCUUAGCUGCCCCAGUCCCUGCUACUCUGCUAGGCUGGUAUAUUAGUAUGCUAGAUUGGGAUUCUCUCCGUUCCAAGUUGUUAAAUAUUAGCAGUUUAGUAUGGGUGAUCAAGUAUCGAAAUAUUGUUUGGUCACUUUUAUAGAACGAUAUAUUUUUAUCCAAGUUAGUGAUGAUGCUAUUAUGAAGCGGUUUCAAAGAAUGCAAGAUCGUCGAGGGAAAAUGUAAUUUUCUACUUUUUUAAAUAUAUUUUCGUUAGUUUUAUUGUAUCUUAUGAACGAAUUUAUUAUUUUAUGUUUUGAAAUUUGUAGGUGACUUUUAUUUUUAUUUUGCAAUGAAGUUGCAUUAAAUUUGGAACCCCCAUUUUAUAAUUCCUGGGUCCGCCCCUGCUUAGGACCCGUUUGAUAUCACUGCGAAAAGUCAAAAACCUUAAUGUGAGUUUUGAUAUAUGUAUCUUCACCCAAAUUCCUUUUGUUGACAUUUAUUUUGCCGUUGUUUUGGCUUUAUUUUAUGUAGACAUAUAUUGCAGUUUUCUACCAUGAUGCUUUGCUACAUUGCAAUAUUAUGACACUUCACAAAGUUUUGAUCCACCGUCGGAUAGAGGUUCACAUAUAAGUAUAUUGAACAUGAAUGACUAAAUUCUACUGAAAUUGUGAUGGGGUAACGUGUUGAUAUCUACUUGUACCUAGAGCCACAACACAAUAUAUGAUUAUUGAAAUAUGCAUAUGAAUAAGCCGGAUGGGCGUACGUAUUCCAUAUCCAUUUUUAUAUCAACCUAUUGGCCUUCGUUUAUUAGUUCGGAUUUUGGCUAAUCUCUUUUUGUAUGUCAACAGAGUAUUUGCUGACUUAUGUGGACGAGUUCAUUGACGAACUUCAUUCAUGCCACAUUGCCAUGCCUCGUAUUAAGAAAAGGUGCUGGAGUCAUAUUUGAUGUGUACAGUAUGCAGUGUCAGUCUUUAUAAUCUAUAGGUAGUUAGUUAACAAAAUGGUGUGGUUUACCUUAGAUACAAUUAUAAUUUUUUGAACUGUUCGGUGAGCUUGAUUAUCCUUUUUCAUUUGCACCCUCUGCGCAUUUAAAUGGAAGUAAUACAAGUUAGUGUUCCCAUUGUACACCUUUUUAUUUGUUAAUGCAUUUCCCUCCUAUCAAGACUCAAGAAGAAGCACAAUAAGCGUUCAUCCUUUGGGAAGGUAAGGGUGAAUUCAAUAGUACAUAAAGAGUAUCUGAAAUACGCUACGCCGGCAUGCAUCAUAUCGGAGGUGAACUUGAAUAUAGAUUGGUAAUAUUUUUCCCAUCAUGAUGUUGUUUAUAUAUGAAAACACUACUUGAGAAUGUGAGGGAUAUGUCUCAUGCUAAUUUCCUUGGUAAUGUUUUUCCUCCCUCUAUUAUUUCUUUUCUUCAUGAACUUCCAUUACCAUUCAUUAUUACCUUAGACAUGAUAUAAAUUGGUUAAGAGCAUUAAUUUUUAUGGAAAUUGGCAUGGGAUAUCUUAUCGCUUGAUUGAAAUCCUUGCAUGGAUCCAUGAUUGCGAAUUGAUUAACUAUAAUCAAAAUGUCCUCUCUUUUCUCUUUUCUAAGUAUCUCAUGACUUAUUAUAAUCAUUUUUCCUCUCUUUUCAACUUUUUUGCAAAACGAUGACCCAACUUGGUUUUACUUGGAUAUUAACCUAUUCCAAGAGAUCAGAACUGAAGAUGGUUAACACUUCGCGAUUUUUUGUUGAGAAUUUACAUGUGAUUAAUAUUUUUUAUUUAUUGAUUAAAAAGGUAGCCUUGUCUAAACUUAAUCAAAGGUUUAGUAUGGAGUUAGGCUUAGGCUUCAGCUUAUUGACAGACAUGCCAAACAAAAAUUAAUGAUUUAAUUAGUAUGGAGAUAUAAAUAGGAUAUUAAAGGGAAAUUGUUUUUUUCUUUUUUAAGUUUUGGAAGCUGUAGUGAUUAAUUAAUAGAAAAUAUUAAUUGUAUUGGAUUUUCUAAGGUAUAAAUCUAAAACGAGUGAACAUGUAUUAAUGUAAUUUUAGCUGGUUGUUAAUAGUUAGAUUAUUGGGAAUUCAAUACAAUAGGUAUUUUUUUCUUUUUCAUUAUUUUAUGUGGUUCUCUUCUCAAUUUUUAUACAUUCAAUUCCUUGCUUUUAUUUGGGGUCUUGUUAUUUCCUUCGUCUUGCUGUACUCGGUGACAUUUUUUGGGUUCUGUUUUUUUCCUUUCUCAUUUCAAAGGAAAAUAUCAAGUGGAUGUCAUAGUAAGGCACUAAGAUUCUGGUUAUGACUUGUGAUUUUAACUUUUUUGAAAUUUAUUGCUUUUGGAACUAAAUCCAACAUCAGGUACAAUGUUCCAUAAAGAGUAUUGACAUCAUAGAAAUAUUACCGAGCAUGCUGUCAGGGUUUGUAGAUAAGGAAUAAUGGAGGAGCUAGCAACUUUUGUUUGUUAAGAUAAAGAAAUUGAGGUGGGUGAUAAAAGGUUUGAGAUUUUGUGGAAGAAUGGGAAAAGAAGAUAGAAUAGAGAAGAUGGUUUAGCGUCAUAGGAGGGAGAUUAAAAAAAGGGGUGGGGAACUUGAAGGAGGAGAGGGCGAACUGGAGAAAGAGGCGCAUGAGAAUUGAGGAUGAAAUUACAGGGUUUUUUUGUGUGAAUGUUGUUUGUUAUUGAGUUAGUUACAGUGUGGUUUAAUUACUCUUAUGGCAUGUGCAAUUGAAAAUAUACUCAUUGGUCUUUGUAGUACCAUUAUGUGAGUAUGUAUCAUAUACGGAGUAUAUCUUUCUGAACCUACACAGUUGAGAUAAAGUCAUACUAUAUCAACCUUUCUUACUAACUCGGUAACUCCAUAUGAUUUUCAGGGUAUUGUCCUUCAUUUUAAGAGUUCAUGGUUGAUCAUUUGCAAGAUUCUUGAAGGAACAUCGCCAGUAUUUGGUGUUCAUGAAUCCUUAUUUACUGUUGUUAAAGAGAAAAGAAUAGAACUCCCUCCCCCGUGUAUAUAUAUUUAUAUAUUUAUCUAUUUUACCAAAAGUCUUCUCGGUACUCUGUUUUCUUUUGUUUGUUGUGUAUACAUUUUGUCUAUCUCGACUAUUUAAGGAGUGUACAAUCAAAGUUAAAUAUCUUUGAGCGAACUACAAAC